AACUACAUGCUAUAAUGAUGAGGCAAACGAGUUUAUGGUGGUCCACUAGCCUUCUUCAUCAAGAAAGUAGGUGGUGCCUAUGUUAUUUUGGGGCGUUACCUGGAAAUCGUAAACGUGUGACUGUUUUCGAAAGUCUUACGCUUAUGAUUGCAUUUGCAGUCCUAACCGUAACGAUUAUAAACAGCAA
RNAcentral lists this small RNA (187 nucleotides) under Listeria ivanovii. RNAcentral's name for it is "Listeria sRNA rli28". It matches the Rfam family "Listeria sRNA rli28". Lineage: Bacteria; Bacillati; Bacillota; Bacilli; Caryophanales; Listeriaceae. The record is from RNAcentral.